This 309-nucleotide ribosomal RNA is filed under the name uncultured bacterium. Its description in RNAcentral is "partial 16S ribosomal RNA". It matches the Rfam family "Bacterial small subunit ribosomal RNA", at positions 504 to 807 of the family's 1533-position model. The record is from RNAcentral.
AGAGACAGCAGCAGCCGCGGUAAUACAGAGGGUGCGAGCGUUAAUCGGAUUUACUGGGCGUAAAGCGUGCGUAGGCGGCUAAUUGAGUCGGAUGUGAAAUCCCCGAGCUUAACUUGGGAAUUGCAUUCGAUACUGGUUAGCUAGAGUGUGGGAGAGGAUGGUAGAAUUCCAGGUGUAGCGGUGAAAUGCGUAGAGAUCUGGAGGAAUACCGAUGGCGAAGGCAGCCAUCUGGCCUAACACUGACGCUGAGGUACGAAAGCAUGGGGAGCAAACAGGAUUAGAUACCCCUGUAGUCCCUGUCUCUUAUAC